This 498-nucleotide ribosomal RNA is filed under the name uncultured bacterium. RNAcentral's name for it is "partial 16S ribosomal RNA". It matches the Rfam family "Bacterial small subunit ribosomal RNA", at positions 30 to 523 of the family's 1533-position model. The record is from RNAcentral.
AUUGAACGCUGGCGGCAUGCCUUACACAUGCAAGUCGAACGGUAACAGGUCUUCGGAUGCUGACGAGUGGCGAACGGGUAAGUAAUACAUCGGAACGUGCCUAGUAGUGGGGGAUAACUACUCGAAAGAGUGGCUAAUACCGCAUGAGAUCUACGGAUGAAAGCAGGGGAUCGCAAGACCUUGUGCUACUAGAGCGGGCGAUUGCAGAUUAGGUAGUUGGUGGGAUAAAAGCUUACCAAGCCGACGAUCUGUAGCUGGUCUGAGAGGACGAUCAGCCACACCGGGACUGAGAAACGGCCCAGACUCCUACGGGAGGCAGCAGUGGGGAAUUUUGGACAAUGGGCGCAAGCCUGAUCCAGCAAUGCCGCGUGCAGGAUGAAGGCCUUCGGGUUGUAAACUGCUUUUGUACGGAACGAAAAGCCCCGGGUUAAUACCCUGGGGUCAUGACGGUACCGUAAGAAUAAGCACCGGCUAACUACGUGCCAGCCGCCGCCGUAA